This is a ribosomal RNA of Sinocyclocheilus grahami, 117 nucleotides long. NCBI's taxonomy places the organism in Eukaryota, Metazoa, Chordata, Actinopteri, Cypriniformes, Cyprinidae. The record is from Ensembl.
UCCAGCCGCCAUAUCACCCUGUAGCCCAAGACUGGUUGCCCACUGAAGCUAAGCAGGGCUGAGCCUGGUCAGUACCUGGAUGGGAGACCUCCUGGGAAAACUAGGUUGCUGCUGGAA